Molecule: ribosomal RNA, 253 nt
Filed under: uncultured bacterium
Lineage: Bacteria
Description: partial 16S ribosomal RNA
Rfam family: Bacterial small subunit ribosomal RNA
Source: RNAcentral
UACGUAGGGUGCAAGCGUUGUCCGGAAUUAUUGGGCGUAAAGAGCUCGUAGGCGGUCUGUCGCGUCGGCUGUGAAAACCCGAGGCUCAACCUCGGGCCUGCAGUCGAUACGGGCAAACUAGAGUACUGCAGGGGAGACUGGAAUUCCUGGUGUAGCGGUGAAAUGCGCAGAUAUCAGGAGGAACACCGGUGGCGAAGGCGGCUCUCUGGGACGGUACUGACGCUGAGACGCGAAAGCGUGGGGAGCGAACAGG